GCCGCCGAGGGAAGUGCGACCUCCCGCCCUCUCCUGGCCCAGCGCCCCUGGCCAGCCCCGGGCGAGGCUCAGUGCCGCCGCCAGGUGAAGUUAGGACAGGCCGCGAGCUGUCGUCUUACGCAACCGGAGAUCCUGCAGCCCUAACAUAAAGGGAUGGGAGAAGCUUUCCCUCAAUACACAGGGUUUCCUGACAUACACUGGAAUUAGGUUGUGCCUAACCAAAGCGCUGAAGCACAAGCAGUUUCUAAAUAAAAGGAGCACAGACUACUAGUAGAAGUGAGAUAAAGCAAGCACAGAUUUUUGCAUACUUCAUCAAGAAGAGCUUCUUCGUCAAGAAGAGCUCCUUCAUCAGAUGCUUGUGCAAACCAUGAAACAGUGAUUUUUGUGCAGCUUUCAAGUUGUUUGCUUGUUUUUGUUCUGUUUUUCCAAUGAGAAAUUGAAUUCAGAGCAUACAGUUACUCUAAUAAAAUUGAACUCACAGUCAGCAGUUAUGUGUCUUACACAAAGUCAUUCUGAGAAUCCGCAAACAUCAGGCACCAGCUUUCCAGGACACAAAAGCAUUCUGUGGAGAAAAAAAAGGGUUGAAUAACAUGAACAGAAAUGGAUCCAUCAUUUUCAACUAGCCUGUACAGUUUGCCUUAAAAAUUGAUGCACAGCUGUAAUUACUGUGGCGCAGGAAAUGUAUUUCAGGGAGGGAGGAAACCUUCCACCCUUUGGAAAUCAUCCUCUUGGUUCACGAAGUUCCUCCAGUGCCCUAGGGCCACAAUGCAG
This is a long non-coding RNA of Numida meleagris (helmeted guineafowl), 771 nucleotides long. RefSeq lists it as uncharacterized. Lineage: Eukaryota; Metazoa; Chordata; Aves; Galliformes; Numididae. The record is from RefSeq and is a predicted model, not a curated record. The transcript has 3 exons.